Molecule: ribosomal RNA, 425 nt
Filed under: uncultured bacterium
Lineage: Bacteria
Description: partial 16S ribosomal RNA
Rfam family: Bacterial small subunit ribosomal RNA
Source: RNAcentral
GUGGGGAAUAUUGGACAAUGGGCGCAAGCCUGAUCCAGCCAUGCCGCGUGAGUGAUGAAGGCCCUAGGGUUGUAAAGCUCUUUCACCGGUGAAGAUAAUGACGGUAACCGGAGAAGAAGCCCCGGCUAACUUCGUGUCAGCAGCCGCGGUAAUACGAAGGGGGCUAGCGUUGUUCGGAAUUACUGGGCGUAAAGCGCACGUAGGCGGAUCGUUAAGUCGGGGGUGAAAUCCUGGAGCUCAACUCCAGAACUGCCUUCGAUACUGGCGAUCUUGAGUCCGGAAGAGGUGAGUGGAACUCCUAGUGUAGAGGUGGAAUUCGUAGAUAUUAGGAAGAACACCAGUGGCGAAGGCGGCUCACUGGUCCGGUACUGACGCUGAGGUGCGAAAGCGUGGGGAGCAAACAGGAUUAGAAACCCGGGUAGUCC